AAAUUGAAGAGUUUGAUCAUGGCUCAGAUUGAACGCUGGCGGCAGGCCUAACACAUGCAAGUCGAACGGUAACAGAAAGCAGCUUGCUGCUUUGCUGACGAGUGGCGGACGGGUGAGUAAUGUCUGGGAAACUGCCUGAUGGAGGGGGAUAACUAUUGGAAACGGUAGCUAA
This 172-nucleotide ribosomal RNA is filed under the name Escherichia coli. Its description in RNAcentral is "partial 16S ribosomal RNA". It matches the Rfam family "Bacterial small subunit ribosomal RNA", at positions 1 to 166 of the family's 1533-position model. Lineage: Bacteria; Pseudomonadati; Pseudomonadota; Gammaproteobacteria; Enterobacterales; Enterobacteriaceae. The record is from RNAcentral.